Molecule: small RNA, 4652 nt
Filed under: Pan troglodytes (chimpanzee)
Lineage: Eukaryota; Metazoa; Chordata; Mammalia; Primates; Hominidae
Description: retained intron
Source: RNAcentral
CGUCGACUCAGCCUUAGGUACCGGUCAGGCAAAAUGCGGUCCUCCCUGGCUCCGGGAGUCUGGUUCUUCCGGGCCUUCUCCAGGGACAGCUGGUUCCGAGGCCUCAUCCUGCUGCUGACCUUCCUAAUUUACGCCUGCUAUCACAUGUCCAGGAAGCCUAUCAGUAUCGUCAAGAGCCGUCUGCACCAGAACUGCUCGGAGCAGAUCAAACCCAUCAAUGAUACUCACAGUCUCAAUGACACCAUGUGGUGCAGCUGGGCCCCAUUUGACAAGGACAACUAUAAGGAGUUACUAGGGGGCAUGGACAACGCCUUCCUCGUCGCCUAUGCCAUCGGCAUGUUCAUCAGUGGGGUUUUUGGGGAGCGGCUUCCGCUCCGUUACUACCUCUCAGCUGGAAUGCUUCUCAGUGGCCUUUUCACCUCGCUCUUUGGCCUGGGAUAUUUCUGGAACAUCCACGAGCUCUGGUACUUUGUGGUCAUCCAGGUCUGUAAUGGACUCGUCCAGACCACAGGCUGGCCCUCUGUGGUGACCUGUGUUGGCAACUGGUUCGGGAAGGGGAAGCGGGGGUUCAUCAUGGGCAUCUGGAAUUCCCACACAUCUGUGGGCAACAUCCUGGGCUCCCUGAUCGCCGGCAUCUGGGUGAACGGGCAGUGGGGCCUGUCGUUCAUCGUGCCUGGCAUCAUUACUGCCAUCAUGGGCGUCAUCACCUUCCUCUUCCUCAUCGAACACCCAGAAGAUGUGGACUGCGCCCCUCCUCAGCACCACGGUGAGCCAGCUGAGAACCAGGACAACCCUGAGGACCCUGGGAACAGUCCCUGCUCUAUCAGGGAGAGCGGCCUUGAGACUGUGGCCAAAUGCUCCAAGGGGCCAUGCGAAGAGCCUGCUGCCAUCAGCUUCUUUGGGGCGCUCCGGAUCCCAGGCGUGGUCGAGUUCUCUCUGUGUCUGCUGUUUGCCAAGCUGGUCAGUUACACCUUCCUCUACUGGCUGCCCCUCUACAUCGCCAAUGUGGCUCACUUUAGUGCCAAGGAGGCUGGGGACCUGUCUACACUCUUCGAUGUUGGUGGCAUCAUAGAUGUUCCUGUACAACUACAUUGGCCAGGACGGGAUUGCCAGCUCCAUAGUGAUGCUGAUCAUCUGUGGGGGCCUGGUCAAUGGCCCAUACGCGCUCAUCACCACUGCUGUCUCUGCUGACCUGGGGACUCACAAGAGCCUGAAGGGCAACGCCAAAGCCCUGUCCACGGUCACGGCCAUCAUUGACGGCACCGGCUCCAUAGGUGCGGCUCUGGGGCCUCUGCUGGCUGGGCUCAUCUCCCCCACGGGCUGGAACAAUGUCUUCUACAUGCUCAUCUCUGCCGACGUCCUAGCCUGCUUGCUCCUUUGCCGGUUAGUAUACAAAGAGAUCUUGGCCUGGAAGGUGUCCCUGAGCAGAGGCAGCGGGUGAGUCCGGGGAGCUGAAGCUGCCCCUCUACCAACCUCAUUUCUCGUGGGAAUCAGCCCGGUGCUCAGUUUCUCCAAAUGCAGGCUGAGGCUCGACCAGCCCAGACCUGAGGAGCACUGAGCCAGUCCCUGGGUGGCCCUCACCCUGCUAACCUGUCCUCUGUUGUCCCCGUGUAUCUCUAUAGCUCUAGUAUGGUCCUAACCCACCAGUGAUAGUAUUUUCCUCAAGUCCCAUGACUUUUGUGAGUAUUUACUUCGAGUCUGUGACUCGAGUGCCAUUUGAGUGGGGGCUGCAUGCAAAUCCUCUGUCCUGCAGUAUGACUUUUUCCAACUUUCUCUUUCUUCUUGUGGGCCAGUUGUAAAGACUUUCAACCUCAGCAGAGCAUGGUGCUUGGGAAGUGUUUUCCAAGGGGUCUGAGAUGCCACAGAGGUUGGUGGCCUCUUCCCUGAGGGACAGUGUGAGAACUUUGGACAUGCCCUCGGGGACAGAGGAGGCAGAAAUAGGGAAACCAGUUUCCCUCUGAGCUGCGACUGAGCUGCAAGUGCCUCCUGAAGUUCAGAAACCAAGGUCAUCUGGCCCCUCUGCCUGGGGUAUGCAGAAAAAAAGCAACUACCAAUCAAAGUCUCUGAAACAAAUGUGAAUCAAGCAUGGGUGGCUGGCCUGGUGUGCUCUCUGCCUACUGUCUGGUGGUGGUGGAUGUGGUGGUGGCAUCAGCAGGUCAGUGGCUGAGGCUACACAGUGCUGGUGGUCUGAUGGUCGGGCGACCCUCUCCCGCUGGCCGUCCUGAGCAGGAGCCUCGUGCUAACAAGGAGGCCGCUAAUGAGCUGGCCGGAGCUGUGAACCUGGGCUGGAUGGCAAAUGUGAGGAGGAACCCCCUGGGACAUGGUAACCAGCACGCAUCUGGGGACACACUUCCACUUAAGGAAGACACCACCCAGGGGAGAGAAAGUGAGAGCAGGAAGACACACAACACAGGAAGCACGCAGAGCACCUGUCCUGCCCUGCCCUACCCUGGAAGAGGGGAGCAGGGGGCUGGACUGCAUGACCCAAAGUUCCUGUGCCUGUGCUCCUUGGAGCCAGGCCUGAGGGUGGGAAGAGAAGAGCAGCAGAAAGGGAGGAAGAUUUAGUGAGCAACUGCUCUGUGCCUGGAAUUGUGUCUGGCUUUAGACAUGUGAGCUUGCCUCGCAGCAGCUCUCAUUGAAGGUGAGAGACAGAGGCUCAGAGCUCGGGCACAGCCUAACACUGAAACUGGGCCUGGGGGUUGUUUGCUUUUCUCUGGACUGCCACCGCUGUCCCAGGCUGGUCCUGCUCCAUGGGAGGCCUGUGUGUGAGGUGUGCAGUGAUUUAUCAGAGCAGACAGAGCACUGUGCUUGGAAUCCAAAAACCCCUGGACAGUCCUGCUUUCUCCACUCACUCCAUGAGACCUUGGGCAUAGCACUCCAUCAGACCCAGAUUCUCUGAACCGCCACAUCUUUAUGUAUGAAUGGGGAUGCUUAUCCCUGAAUACCUGGCAGAAUUGACCCGAGGCUGAGAUAAGAUGGGAUAUGUGAUAUUGCUUUGUAAAGCUGUCAAAUGUGGCAUGAACAUUGUAAGGUUUUAUUUAAUUUCUUUUUUUUUUUUUUUGAGGCGGAGUUUUGCUCUUAUUGCCCAGGCUGGAGUGCAGUGGUGUGAUCUCAGCUCACUGCAAUCUCCGCCUCCCAGGUUCAAGUGAUUCUCCUGCCUCAGCCUCCCGAGAAGCUGGGACCACAGGCAUGCGCCACCACACCCGGCUAAUUUUGUAUUUUUAGUAGAGACAGGAUUUCUCCAUGUUGGUCAGGCUGGUCUUGAACUCCCGACCUCAGGUGACUCACCCGCCUCGGCCUCCCAAAGUGCUGGGAUUACAGAUGUGAGCCACCGUGCCCGGCCAGGUUUUAAAUAUUAAUCUAGCUUGCUAUUUCCUGCCUGAGAGGUGAAAGGGAGGCCUCAUUACAGAGAACUGAGAUGAAAGCAAUGAUGAAGGGACCCUGGGACCCUGCCUUUCCUCUCCCUACUCAGCAGGAGCUUAUGAAGUCAUCUCACUUUCUCUUCUGUCCCCCCUCUCCUCUUCAUGCAGGUAUAAAGAAAUAUGAGGCCCCAAUUGGAACAGCAGCAUGGAGGGUCCCAGUUGGGUCCCCAACGUGCUCCCCAUGGGCAAGACAAUGGAAACUUCCACAAGUAGGGGAGGCAAACCCUCUUUAUUGAACAUUAGCCAGCCCAGCCCAGACCCAGGGCUGCCUAAGGACACAGAGAUUCUCCAUGGGAAGGGGACUGCCAAGCAUGAGGAAAUAGAAGAUUCAGGGGCCUGAGCUCUGGAAGCUGCAAGCAAAAGGGAUGGGACUAGGGCUGAGUUGUGUCUCCAUUUUGAUAAGGAAAGGAUAUGCUCAGACUCUUGCUUGUUCAGAUUCCAAGACAGAAGGCUUCACAAGGCCAAGGCCUGGAAAAUGUGCAUCUCUCCUUCCCAUGUUAAAUUUUAACCUCUGUAAUCUGCCUGUAUCUAUAGGUGGGCAUCUCACUCCAUCAAAGGAGCCCAGCCUCUCUUUGUCCCUCUAUCCAUGAAACAGUCUUCUCUGUGCAUUUCCCCAAGCUGGGCCCUCUUCUACUCUCCAUUUAGGCCUGUUGAUAACUCCAUUACCCACCCAUCACUGCUGUUCCUCCAGGGCCAGCACUCGGGCGAGGCAGGGGAGCUGCCUUCGGUACAUAAUUUGAAGGGGCACUCCCUCUUGGGCACAUGCUGGCCCUGAGUGCCUCCCUUGCCUCACUCUGAUCCCGGCCCCAUAAUGUCCUCAGUGGAAGGUGACUGGGGGCCGGUGCUGUGGGGAGAGUAGAAAGAGGGGUUGGCAUGACUAAAAAUACCAGUAUGUGUAUUAAGUAUUUUGAGAAUGAAGUGCCAAGGAGUGCCUACUGUAUGCCAGCUCUGCUCUAGGAAUGGAGUAGACAGUGGACACAAGAAGGACUUACGCCCUGAGCACAGGUGCCAACGGUGACAAGACUGGCAAGACGUGAGGGCAUGAAUGGUUCAUUCAGGCAGCUGCUGCAGGUGUGGUCAGCUGGUGCCAUCUGCUGCUCCCUUUUCCACUUUUCUAUGUCCUCCUUCCACCCCAAGUCCCGGAUCACUCGCUGUCUUCUGGCUAGCUCUUGGCAUCUCCAUCUGAGCCUAAAGUUGCCCACUGGCACCAAUAGAUUCUGUUUGACCUGC